RNAcentral lists this ribosomal RNA (505 nucleotides) under uncultured bacterium. RNAcentral describes it as "partial 16S ribosomal RNA". It matches the Rfam family "Bacterial small subunit ribosomal RNA", at positions 28 to 523 of the family's 1533-position model. The record is from RNAcentral.
GAUGAACGCUAGCGAUAGGCCUAACACAUGCAAGUCGAGGGGCAGCAUAGAUGUAGCAAUACAUUUGAUGGCGACCGGCGCACGGGUGAGUAACACGUAUGCAACCUACCUUCUACAGGGGGAUAGCCCGGAGAAAUUCGGAUUGAUACCGCAUAACACAGGGAUACCGCAUGGUAUUAUUUGUUAAAGAUUUAUCGGUAGAAGAUGGGCAUGCGUUCCAUUAGCCAGUUGGUGAGGUAACGGCUCACCAAAGCAACGAUGGAUAGGGGAACGGAGAGGUUUAUCCCCAACACGGGAACUGAGACACGGACCAGACUCCUACGGGAGGCAGCAGUGAGGAAUAUUGGUCAAUGGACGCAAGUCUGAACCAGCCAAAUCGCGUGAAGGACGACUGCCUUAUGGGUUGUAAACUUCUUUUAUAAGGGAAUAAAAAGAGAUACGCGUAUCUUGUUGCAUGUACCUUAUGAAUAAGCAUCGGCUAACUCCGUGCCAGCAGCCGCCGUAA